RNAcentral lists this ribosomal RNA (555 nucleotides) under Acinetobacter baumannii Canada BC-5. RNAcentral's name for it is "bacterial SSU rRNA". It matches the Rfam family "Bacterial small subunit ribosomal RNA", at positions 55 to 604 of the family's 1533-position model. Lineage: Bacteria; Pseudomonadati; Pseudomonadota; Gammaproteobacteria; Moraxellales; Moraxellaceae. The record is from RNAcentral.
AUGCAAGUCGAGCGGGGGAAGGUAGCUUGCUACCGGACCUAGCGGCGGACGGGUGAGUAAUGCUUAGGAAUCUGCCUAUUAGUGGGGGACAACAUCUCGAAAGGGAUGCUAAUACCGCAUACGUCCUACGGGAGAAAGCAGGGGAUCUUCGGACCUUGCGCUAAUAGAUGAGCCUAAGUCGGAUUAGCUAGUUGGUGGGGUAAAGGCCUACCAAGGCGACGAUCUGUAGCGGGUCUGAGAGGAUGAUCCGCCACACUGGGACUGAGACACGGCCCAGACUCCUACGGGAGGCAGCAGUGGGGAAUAUUGGACAAUGGGGGGAACCCUGAUCCAGCCAUGCCGCGUGUGUGAAGAAGGCCUUAUGGUUGUAAAGCACUUUAAGCGAGGAGGAGGCUACUUUAGUUAAUACCUAGAGAUAGUGGACGUUACUCGCAGAAUAAGCACCGGCUAACUCUGUGCCAGCAGCCGCGGUAAUACAGAGGGUGCGAGCGUUAAUCGGAUUUACUGGGCGUAAAGCGUGCGUAGGCGGCUUAUUAAGUCGGAUGUGAAAUCCCC